CAGUCGCCACGGGAAUACAGAGGGUGCGAGCGUUAAUCGGAUUUACUGGGCGUAAAGCGUGCGUAGGCGGCUUUUUAAGUCGGAUGUGAAAUCCCUGAGCUUAACUUAGGAAUUGCAUUCGAUACUGGGAAGCUAGAGUAUGGGAGAGGAUGGUAGAAUUCCAGGUGUAGCGGAGAAAUGCGUAGAGAUCUGGAGGAAUACCGAUGGCGAAGGCAGCCAUCUGGACUAAUACUGACGCUGAGGUACGAAAGCAUGGGGAGCAAACAGGAUUAGAGACCCGAGUAGUCCCUGUCUCUUAUAC
This 301-nucleotide ribosomal RNA is filed under the name uncultured bacterium. RNAcentral's name for it is "partial 16S ribosomal RNA". It matches the Rfam family "Bacterial small subunit ribosomal RNA", at positions 509 to 807 of the family's 1533-position model. The record is from RNAcentral.